AAGUUAAUGCCUGAGUGGUUAAAAGGAAUGGACUGUAAAUCCAUUGAUAAUUUUUAUAUCUACAUCAGUUCGAAUCUGAUUUAACUUA
This 88-nucleotide transfer RNA is filed under the name Haemoproteus columbae. RNAcentral describes it as "tRNA-Tyr". It matches the Rfam family "tRNA". From Rfam's summary of the family: Transfer RNA (tRNA) molecules are approximately 80 nucleotides in length. Their secondary structure includes four short double-helical elements and three loops (D, anti-codon, and T loops). Lineage: Eukaryota; Apicomplexa; Aconoidasida; Haemosporida; Haemoproteidae. The record is from RNAcentral.